Molecule: ribosomal RNA, 375 nt
Filed under: uncultured Glomeromycotina
Lineage: Eukaryota; Fungi; Glomeromycota
Description: LSU rRNA
Source: RNAcentral
UUGAAAGGGAAACGAUUGAAGUCAGUCGUACCUGCGGGAUAAUCAGCCUUUCGAGUAUGAUUCUGUGGAGUGUAAGGAGUUUAACCGUCUUCAUACCUGCAUAUUCGUGCGCUUUGGGUGUACUUGUCCGUAUGGUAGGUUAACAUCAAUUUUGGUCGUUAUAAAAUGACUAGGGGAAUGUAGCUUUGAUCCCGUAUUGAAGUGUUAUAGCCUCUGGUAAAUGCAGUGACUAGGAUUGAGGAUUGCAACGGAUACCUUUCGGGGCUACUCGUCUGAUCUCUGGAAGUUACUUUGGUGCUAAAAGCUUGCUUAUGGUUAUCGAAGUUGACGGUCAAUAGGUUAGAACGAGUUAAAUUCAUUAAGGAUGUUGACGUA